UGAGCAGAGCAGACGGUCGCGGCAGUCACAGUGCUGCUGAGGAAAGUCCGGGCUUCACAGGGCAGGAUGCCUGAUAACGUCAGGUGGAGGCGACUCCCAGGAAAGUGCAACAGAAAACGAACCGCCCGGGAUCUUCCCGGGUAAGGGUGAAAAGGCAGUGUAAGAGACUACCGCCGCGGUGGUAACACAGCGGGCAGUGUAAACCCCAUCCGAAGCAAGACCGAACAGAAACCCAUGGGGCGGCCCGUCCCGGUUUCGGGUUGGUCGCGUGUCCGGGUCGGAAGAUCCGGACGGAGCCUGUCGGUGACGGCAGGUCAAGAUAGAUGAUCGUCUGAUACAUAACCCGGCUUACAGCUCGGCUCAAAAA
This 367-nucleotide RNase P RNA is filed under the name Lachnospiraceae bacterium. RNAcentral's name for it is "RNase P RNA component class A". It matches the Rfam family "Bacterial RNase P class A". Rfam says of the family: Ribonuclease P (RNase P) is a ubiquitous endoribonuclease, found in archaea, bacteria and eukarya as well as chloroplasts and mitochondria. Its best characterised activity is the generation of mature 5'-ends of tRNAs by cleaving the 5'-leader elements of precursor-tRNAs. Cellular RNase Ps are ribonucleoproteins. Lineage: Bacteria; Bacillati; Bacillota; Clostridia; Lachnospirales; Lachnospiraceae. The record is from RNAcentral.